Molecule: unclassified non-coding RNA, 190 nt
Filed under: uncultured Sebacina
Lineage: Eukaryota; Fungi; Basidiomycota; Agaricomycetes; Sebacinales; Sebacinaceae
Description: sequence contains ITS2
Source: RNAcentral
UACUCUCACACUCUCUAAUUAUUAGAGAGCGGUGGAAUUGGGUGUUGCCUGGUGCUUGCUGUCAGGCUCAUCUCAAAUGCGUUAGUGCGACUGCUAGUCGGACAUAGUACGGCGUGAUAAGUAAACCCUCGCUGUUUUAGGUCUUACUAGUUGCUCUGUGCUUCAAACGGUCUUCGGACAAUCUCUGAUA